RNAcentral lists this ribosomal RNA (288 nucleotides) under uncultured Amoebophrya. Its description in RNAcentral is "partial Bacterial large subunit ribosomal RNA". It matches the Rfam family "Bacterial large subunit ribosomal RNA", at positions 195 to 483 of the family's 2925-position model. Lineage: Eukaryota; Dinophyceae; Syndiniales. The record is from RNAcentral.
GAAACAUCUAAGUACCCGGAGGAAGAGAAAACAAUAGUGAUUCCCUGAGUAGUGGCGAGCGAAAAGGGAUUAGCCCAAACCUUGACUGUUACGGCAGUUGAGGGGUUGUAGGACUGAGACAUCUGAUAUAAACAGAACGAGAAUUAUCUGGGAAGGUAAGCCAAAGAGGGUGAGAGCCCCGUAUUGGUAAUGUUUAUUGAGGUAUCAGUAUCCUGAGUAGGGCGGAACAGGAGAAAUUCCGUCUGAACCAGCCGGCACCAUCCGGUAAGGCUAAAUACUCCUGAGAGA